Molecule: ribosomal RNA, 253 nt
Filed under: uncultured bacterium
Lineage: Bacteria
Description: partial 16S ribosomal RNA
Rfam family: Bacterial small subunit ribosomal RNA
Source: RNAcentral
UACGUAGGGUGCGAGCGUUAAUCGGAAUUACUGGGCGUAAAGCGUGCGCAGGCGGUUUUGUAAGCCAGAUGUGAAAUCCCCGGGCUUAACCUGGGAACUGCAUUUGGGACUGCAAGGCUUGAGUGCGGCAGAGGAGACUGGAAUUCCUGGUGUAGCAGUGAAAUGCGUAGAUAUCAGGAGGAAUACCGAUGGCGAAGGCAGGUCUCUGGGCUAACACUGACGCUCAUGCACGAAAGCGUGGGGAGCAAACAGG